UCAAGUUAUUAAGGGUGCAGGGCGGAUGCCUUGGCACUAGGAGCCGAUGAAGGACGUGAUAAGCUGCGAUAAGCUUCGGGGAGUUGCACGUAAACUUUGAUCCGAAGAUUUCCGAAUGAGGAAACUCACUUAGAGUAAUGUCUAAGUAUCAUUAAGUGAAUACAUAGCUUAAUGAGGGGAACUCAGGGAACUGAAACAUCUAAGUACCUGAAGGAAGAGAAAGAAAUUCGAUUCCGUAAGUAGCGGCGAGCGAACGCGGAUUAGCCCAAACCAAUAAAGUUUUCUUUAUUGGGGUUGCGGACAUAUCAUAACGAAGAGGUAUCGUAAUUGAAGAGGUUUGGAAAGACCCACCACAGAAGGUAAUAGUCCUGUAUGUUAAACGAGAAGACUUCAGAUAUGAUCCAGAGUACCACGGGACACGUGAAACCCUGUGGGAAGCAGGAGGGACCACCCUCCAAGGCUAAAUACUACCUAGUGACCGAUAGCGUAUAGUACCGUGAGGGAAAGGUGAAAAGAACCCCGGGAGGGGAGUGAAAUAGAACCUGAAACCCUGCACUUACAAGCUGUGGAAGCACAUUUCUUGUGUGACCGCGUACUUUUUGUAGAACGGGCCAACGAGUUACGUUAAGUAGCAAGGUUAAGCACUUAAGGUGCGGAGCCGUAGCGAAAGCGAGUUUUAACUGAGCGUUCAGUUACUUGACGUAGACCCGAAACCGGGCGACCUACCCAUGAGCAGGAUGAAGCGAAAGUAAAAUUUCGUGGAGGUCCGAACCCACGAGCGUUGAAAAGCUCGGGGAUGACUUGUGGGUAGCGGUGAAAUUCCAAUCGAGCCCGGAGAUAGCUGGUUCUCCCCGAAAUAGCUUUAGGGCUAGCCUCAAGGUGAGAGAUACGGAGGUAGAGCACUGAAUGUCCUAGGGGGUAUUGCACCUACCGAAGACUAUCAAACUCCGAAUGCCGUCAUCUUAUACUUGGGAGUCAGACUGUGGGUGAUAAGAUUCAUAGUCGAAAGGGCAACAGCCCAGAUCGUCAGCUAAGGUCCCUAAAUGUAAGUUAAGUGGUAAAGGAUGUGGGAUUGCACAGACAACCAGGAUGUUGGCUUAGAAGCAGCCACUCAUUCAAAGAGUGCGUAAUAGCUCACUGGUCGAGUGAUCCUGCGCCGAAGAUUUCCGGGGCUAAAACUUACUACCGAAGCUACGGCAUCAGUAAUGAUGGGUAGGGGAGCUUCCCAUACGGGUUGAAGCAUGACCGUAAGGACAUGUGGACAGUAUGGGAGUGAGAAUGUUGGCAUGAGUAGCGAGAUGUGGGUGAGAAUCCCACAGGCCGUAAACCCAAGGUUUCCAGGGGAAGGUUCGUCCGCCCUGGGUUAGUCGGGACCUAAGCUGAGGCCGAAAGGCGUAGGUGAUGGACAACAGGUUGAUAUUCCUGUACUACCGAUAACCGUUUGAGAGAAGGGAUGACACAGUAGGAUAAGCUAAGCACACUGUUGGUUAUGUGUGCCCAAGCAUUGAGGCAGUCAAAGUAGGCAAAUCCGCUUUGAUAAUGCUGGGAUGUGAUGGGGAGCGAAAUUUAGUAGCGAAGUAGCUGAUUUCACACUGUCAAGAAAAGUCUCUAUCGAGGUUAAAGGUACCCGUACCGCAAACCGACACAGGUGGGUGAGGAGAGUAUCCUAAGGCCAGCGAGAGAACUGUUGUUAAGGAACUCGGCAAAAUGACCCCGUAACUUAGGGAUAAGGGGUGCCACCAUCAGGUGGCCGCAGAGAAUAGGCCCAAGCGACUGUUUACCAAAAACAUAGGUUUCUGCUAAGUCGCAAGACGAUGUAUAGGAGCUGACGCCUGCCCGGUGCUGGAAGGUUAAGGGGAUCUGUUAGAGCAAUCGAAGCAGUGAACUUAAGCCCCAGUAAACGGCGGCCGUAACUAUAACGGUCCUAAGGUAGCGAAAUUCCUUGUCGGGUAAGUUCCGACCCGCACGAAAGGCGUAACGAUUUGGGCACUGUCUCAACAACAGACUCGGUGAAAUUGUAAUUCCGGUGAAGAUGCCGGAUACCUGCGACAGGACGGAAAGACCCCAUGGAGCUUUACUGUAGCUUGACAUUGGGUCUUGGUACUACAUGUACAGGAUAGGUGGGAGGCUUUGAAACCAGGACGCCAGUUUUGGCGGAGCCAUCCUUGGGAUACCACCCUUGUAGUACUGGGACUCUAACCAUAGGCCAUGAAUCUGGUCUUGGGACACUGUCAGGUGGGCAGUUUGACUGGGGCGGUCGCCUCCCAAAAGGUAACGGAGGCGCUCAAAGGGUCUCUCAGUACGGUCGGAAAUCGUACGUAGAGUGUAAAGGCAAAAGAGAGCUUGAUUGCAAGACAUACAGGUCGAGCAAGGAUGAAAAUCGGACUUAGUGAUCCGGUGGUUCUGCGUGGAAGGGCCAUCGCUCAACGGAUAAAAGCUACCCUGGGGAUAACAGGCUUAUCUCCCCCAAGAGUCCACAUCGACGGGGAGGUUUGGCACCUCGAUGUCGGCUCAUCACAUCCUGGGGCUGUAGUAGGUCCCAAGGGUUGGGCUGUUCGCCCAUUAAAGUGGUACGCGAGCUGGGUUCAGAACGUCGUGAGACAGUUCGGUCCCUAUCCGUCGCAGGCGUAGGAAAUUUGAGAAGACCUGUCCUUAGUACGAGAGGACCGGGAUGGACGUACCUCUGGUGUACCAGUUGUCCUGCCAAGGGCAUGGCUGGGUAGCUAUGUACGGAAUGGAUAAGCGCUGAAAGCAUCUAAGCGCGAAGCCAACUUCAAGAUAAGAUUUCCCACCGCAAGGGUAAGACCCCAGAAAGACUAUCUGGUUGAUAGGUCGAAGGUGUAAGUGCAGCAAUGUAUUUAGCUUAUCGAUACUAAUAGGUCGAGGACUUGACCAA
Molecule: ribosomal RNA, 2896 nt
Filed under: Clostridioides difficile
Lineage: Bacteria; Bacillati; Bacillota; Clostridia; Peptostreptococcales; Peptostreptococcaceae
Description: 23S ribosomal RNA
Rfam family: Bacterial large subunit ribosomal RNA
Source: RNAcentral